This 253-nucleotide ribosomal RNA is filed under the name uncultured bacterium. RNAcentral describes it as "partial 16S ribosomal RNA". It matches the Rfam family "Bacterial small subunit ribosomal RNA", at positions 524 to 776 of the family's 1533-position model. The record is from RNAcentral.
UACGUAGGGUGCAAGCGUUAAUCGGAAUUACUGGGCGUAAAGCGUGCGCAGGCGGUUUUGCAAGGCAGAUGUGAAAUCCCCGGGCUCAACCUGGGAACUGCAUUUGUGACUGCAAGGCUAGAAUCUGGCAGAGGGGGGUAGAAUUCCAGGUGUAGCGGUGAAAUGCGUAGGGAUCUGGAGGAAUACCGGUGGCGAAGGCGGCCCCCUGGACAAAGACUGACGCUCAGGUGCGAAAGCGUGGGGAGCAAACAGG